GCCCGGGUGGCGGAAUUGGUAGACGCGCACGACUCAAAAUCGUGUGGGGUAAACCCAUGAGAGUUCGAUUCUCUCCUCGGGCACAA
Molecule: transfer RNA, 86 nt
Filed under: Candidatus Campbellbacteria bacterium CG10_big_fil_rev_8_21_14_0_10_35_52
Lineage: Bacteria; Candidatus Campbelliibacteriota
Description: tRNA-Leu
Rfam family: tRNA
About the family: Transfer RNA (tRNA) molecules are approximately 80 nucleotides in length.
Source: RNAcentral